Molecule: ribosomal RNA, 449 nt
Filed under: uncultured bacterium
Lineage: Bacteria
Description: bacterial SSU rRNA
Rfam family: Bacterial small subunit ribosomal RNA
Source: RNAcentral
UUCCAGACUCCUACGGGAGGCAGCAGUGGGGAAUAUUGGGCAAUGGGCGAAAGCCUGACCCAGCAAUGCCGCGUGAAUGAAGAAGGUCUUAGGAUUGUAAAAUUCUGUCCUAUGGGAAGAAACAAAUGACGGUACCAUAGGAGGAAGCCCCGGCUAACUACGUGCCAGCAGCCGCGGUAAUACGUAGGUGGCAAGCGUUAUCCGGAUUUACUGGGUGUAAAGGGCGUGUAGGCGGGGACGCAAGUCAGAUGUGAAAACCACGGGCUCAACCUGUGGCCUGCAUUUGAAACUGUGUUUCUUGAGUACUGGAGAGGCAGACGGAAUUCCUAGUGUAGCGGUGAAAUGCGUAGAUAUUAGGAGGAACACCAGUGGCGAAGGCGGUCUGCUGGACAGCAACUGACGCUGAGGCGCGAAAGCGUGGGGAGCAAACAGGAUUAGAUACCCGAGUA